This 501-nucleotide ribosomal RNA is filed under the name Apilactobacillus kunkeei. Its description in RNAcentral is "bacterial SSU rRNA". It matches the Rfam family "Bacterial small subunit ribosomal RNA", at positions 97 to 584 of the family's 1533-position model. Lineage: Bacteria; Bacillati; Bacillota; Bacilli; Lactobacillales; Lactobacillaceae. The record is from RNAcentral.
GGCGAACUGGUGAGUAACACGUGGGUAACCUGCCCCGAAGCGGGGGAUAACAUUUGGAAACAAGUGCUAAUACCGCAUAAUUAGUUGGAACCGCAUGGUUCCAACUUGAAAGAUGGCUCUGCUAUCACUUUGGGAUGGACCCGCGCCGUAUUAGUUAGUUGGUGAGAUAAAAGCCCACCAAGACGAUGAUACGUAGCCGACCUGAGAGGGUAAUCGGCCACAUUGGGACUGAGACACGGCCCAAACUCCUAAGGGAGGCAGCAGUAGGGAAUCUUCCACAAUGGACGAAAGUCUGAUGGAGCAACGCCGCGUGAGUGAUGAAGGUUUUCGGAUCGUAAAACUCUGUUGUUAAAGAAGAACAAGUGUUAGAGUAACUGUUAACACUUUGACGGUAUUUAACCAGAAAGCCACGGCUAACUACGUGCCAGCAGCCGCGGUAAUACGUAGGUGGCAAGCGUUGUCCGGAUUUAUUGGGCGUAAAGCGAGCGCAGGCGGUUUUGU